AUCAACUUUCGAUUGGUAGGAUAGAGGCCUACCAUGGUGGUAACGGGUAACGGGGUGUUAGGGCACGACACCGGAGAGGGAGCCUGAGAAACGGCUACCACAUCCAAGGAAGGCAGCAGGCACGCAAAUUACCCAAUCCCGACACGGGGAGGUAGUGACAAUAAAUAACAAUACAGGGUUCUUUUGGAUCUUGUAAUUGGAAUGAGUACAAUUUAAAUCUCUUAACGAGGAACAAUUGGAGGGCAAGUCUGGUGCCAGCAGCCGCGGUAAUUCCAGCUCCAAUAGCGUAUAUUAAAGUUGUUGCAGUUAAAAAGCUCGUAGUUGAAUUUCGGGAUCAAUAUUUCGGUCAUGCCGUUGGUAUGCACUGUUAUCAUUGAUUUCUCACCUUCUAAAGAACCGUAAUGCCAUUAAUUUGGUGUUACGGGGAAUUAGGACUGUUACCUUGAAAAAAUUAGAGUGUUUAAAGCAGGCUCACGCUUGAAUACAUUAGCAUGGAAUAAUGAAAUAGGACAUCCGAUUCUAUUUUGUUGGUUUCUAGGAUCGAUGUAAUGAUUAAUAGGGAUAGUUGGGGGCAUUAGUAUUCAAUUGUCAGAGGUGAAAUUCUUGGAUUUAUUGAAGACUAACUACUGCGAAAGCAUUUGCCAAGGAUGUUUUCAUUAAUCAAGAACGAAAAGUUAGGGGAUCGAAGACGAUCAGAUACCGUCGUAGUCUUAACCAUAAACUAUGCCGACUAGGGAUCGGAUGAUGUUAAUUUUUUAAUGACUCAUUCGGCGCCUUUACGGGAAACCAAAGUGUUUGGGUUC
RNAcentral lists this ribosomal RNA (803 nucleotides) under uncultured Glomus. RNAcentral describes it as "SSU rRNA". It matches the Rfam family "Eukaryotic small subunit ribosomal RNA", at positions 314 to 1114 of the family's 1831-position model. Lineage: Eukaryota; Fungi; Glomeromycota; Glomeromycetes; Glomerales; Glomeraceae. The record is from RNAcentral.